ACGGAAGGCAGCAGUGGGGAAUAUUGCGCAAUGGGGGAAACCCUGAUGCAGCGACGCCGCGUGAGUGAAGAAGUUAUUCGUAAUGUAAAGCUCUAUCAGCAGGGAAGAAAAUGACGGUACCUGACUAAGAAGCCCCGGCUAACUACGUGCCAGCAGCCGCGGUAAUACGUAGGGGGCAAGCGUUAUCCGGAUUUACUGGGUGUAAAGGGAGCGUAGACGGUCUAGCAAGUCUGAUGUGAAAGGCAGGGGCUCAACUCCUGGACUGCAUUGGAAACUGUUAGUCUUGAGUGUCGGAGAGGUAAGCGGAAUUCCUAGUGUAGCGGUGAAAUGCGUAGAUAUUAGGAGGAACACCAGUGGCGAAGGCGGCUUACUGGACGAUAACUGACGUUGAGGCUCGAAAGCGUGGGGAGCAAACAGGAUUAGAUACCCUGGUA
This 434-nucleotide ribosomal RNA is filed under the name uncultured Lachnospiraceae bacterium. RNAcentral's name for it is "partial 16S ribosomal RNA". It matches the Rfam family "Bacterial small subunit ribosomal RNA", at positions 341 to 792 of the family's 1533-position model. The record is from RNAcentral. Lineage: Bacteria; Bacillati; Bacillota; Clostridia; Lachnospirales; Lachnospiraceae.